Molecule: ribosomal RNA, 253 nt
Filed under: uncultured bacterium
Lineage: Bacteria
Description: partial 16S ribosomal RNA
Rfam family: Bacterial small subunit ribosomal RNA
Source: RNAcentral
GACGAACCGUGCGAACGUUGUUCGGAAUCACUGGGCUUAAAGGGCGCGUAGGCGGCCGCUUGCGUCGGAUGUGAAAGCCCGGGGCUCAACCCCGGAACGGCAUCCGAUACGGGGCGGCUCGAGACCGAGAGAGGUGAGUGGAAUACCCAGUGUAGAGGUGAAAUUCGUAGAUAUUGGGUGGAACACCGGUGGCGAAAGCGGCUCACUGGCUCGGUUCUGACGCUGAGGCGCGAAAGCGUGGGGAGCAAACAGG